This 700-nucleotide ribosomal RNA is filed under the name Flavobacterium sp. E26R. Its description in RNAcentral is "bacterial SSU rRNA". It matches the Rfam family "Bacterial small subunit ribosomal RNA", at positions 96 to 794 of the family's 1533-position model. Lineage: Bacteria; Pseudomonadati; Bacteroidota; Flavobacteriia; Flavobacteriales; Flavobacteriaceae. The record is from RNAcentral.
GAGCGCACGGGUGCGUAACGCGUAUGCAAUCUACCUUUUACAGAGGGAUAGCCCAGAGAAAUUUGGAUUAAUACCUCAUAGUAUAAUAGCUCGGCAUCGAGCAAUUAUUAAAGUCACAACGGUAAAAGAUGAGCAUGCGUCCCAUUAGCUAGUUGGUAAGGUAACGGCUUACCAAGGCUACGAUGGGUAGGGGUCCUGAGAGGGAGAUCCCCCACACUGGUACUGAGACACGGACCAGACUCCUACGGGAGGCAGCAGUGAGGAAUAUUGGACAAUGGGCGCAAGCCUGAUCCAGCCAUGCCGCGUGCAGGAUGACGGUCCUAUGGAUUGUAAACUGCUUUUGUACAGGAAGAAACAGUUCUACGUGUAGAACCUUGACGGUACUGUAAGAAUAAGGAUCGGCUAACUCCGUGCCAGCAGCCGCGGUAAUACGGAGGAUCCAAGCGUUAUCCGGAAUCAUUGGGUUUAAAGGGUCCGUAGGCGGUUUAAUAAGUCAGUGGUGAAAGCCCAUCGCUCAACGGUGGAACGGCCAUUGAUACUGUUAAACUUGAAUUAUUAGGAAGUAACUAGAAUAUGUAGUGUAGCGGUGAAAUGCUUAGAGAUUACAUGGAAUACCAAUUGCGAAGGCAGGUUACUACUAAUUGAUUGACGCUGAUGGACGAAAGCGUGGGUAGCGAACAGGAUUAGAUACCCUGGUAGU